RNAcentral lists this ribosomal RNA (1139 nucleotides) under Listeria monocytogenes. Its description in RNAcentral is "partial 23S ribosomal RNA". It matches the Rfam family "Bacterial large subunit ribosomal RNA", at positions 1 to 1134 of the family's 2925-position model. The record is from RNAcentral. Lineage: Bacteria; Bacillati; Bacillota; Bacilli; Caryophanales; Listeriaceae.
GGUUAAGUUAGAAAGGGCGCACGGUGGAUGCCUUGGCACUAGGAGCCGAAGAAGGACGGGACUAACACCGAUAUGCUUUGGGGAGCUGUACGUAAGCGUUGAUCCAGAGAUUUCCGAAUGGGGGAACCCACUAUCUUUAGUCGGAUAGUAUCCUUACGUGAAUACAUAGCGUGAGGAAGGCAGACCCAGGGAACUGAAACAUCUAAGUACCUGGAGGAAGAGAAAGAAAAAUCGAUUUCCUGAGUAGCGGCGAGCGAAACGGAAAGAGCCCAAACCAAGAAGCUUGCUUCUUGGGGUUGUAGGACACUCUAUACGGAGUUACAAAAGAAAGUUAUAAAUGAAGCGGUCUGGAAAGGCCCGCCAAAGACGGUAACAGCCCGGUAGUUGAAAUGGCUUUCCCUCCAGAGUGGAUCCUGAGUACGGCGGAACACGUGAAAUUCCGUCGGAAUCCGGGAGGACCAUCUCCCAAGGCUAAAUACUCCCUAGUGACCGAUAGUGAACCAGUACCGUGAGGGAAAGGUGAAAAGCACCCCGGAAGGGGAGUGAAACAGUUCCUGAAACCGUGUGCCUACAAGUAGUUAGAGCCCGUUAAUGGGUGAUAGCGUGCCUUUUGUAGAAUGAACCGGCGAGUUACGAUUUGUUGCAAGGUUAAGCGGAAAAAGCGGAGCCGUAGCGAAAGCGAGUCUGAAUAGGGCGCAUAAGUAACAGGUCGUAGACCCGAAACCAGGUGAUCUACCCAUGUCCAGGAUGAAGGUAAGGUAAUACUUACUGGAGGUCCGAACCCACGCACGUUGAAAAGUGCGGGGAUGAGGUGUGGGUAGCGGAGAAAUUCCAAUCGAACUUGGAGAUAGCUGGUUCUCUCCGAAAUAGCUUUAGGGCUAGCCUCGAGGUAAAGAGUCAUGGAGGUAGAGCACUGUUUGGACUAGGGGCCCUUCUCGGGUUACCGAAUUCAGAUAAACUCCGAAUGCCAUGUACUUAUACUCGGGAGUCAGACUGCGAGUGAUAAGAUCCGUAGUCGAAAGGGAAACAGCCCAGACCACCAGUUAAGGUCCCCAAAUAUAUGUUAAGUGGAAAAGGAUGUGGGGUUGCUUAGACAACCAGGAUGUUGGCUUAGAAGCAGCCACCAUUGAAAGAGUGCG